GACGAACGCUGGCGGCGUGCUUAACGCAUGCAAGUCGAACGGAAAGGCCCUGCUUUUGUGGGGUGCUCGAGUGGCGAACGGGUGAGUAACACGUGAGUAACCUGCCCUUGACUUUGGGAUAACUUCAGGAAACUGGGGCUAAUACCGGAUAGGAGCUCCUGCUGCAUGGUGGGGGUUGGAAAGUUUCGGCGGUUGGGGAUGGACUCGCGGCUUAUCAGCUUGUUGGUGGGGUAGUGGCUUACCAAGGCUUUGACGGGUAGCCGGCCUGAGAGGGUGGCCGGCCACAUUGGGCCUGAGGUACGGCCCAGACUCCUACGUGAGGCAGCAGUGGGGAAUAUUGCACAAUGGGCGGACGCCUGAUGCAGCAACGCCGCGUGCGGGAUGACGGCCUUCGGGUUGUAAACCGCUUUCGCCUGUGACGAAGCGUGAGUGACGGUAAUGGGUAAAGAAGCACCGGCUAACUACGUG
RNAcentral lists this ribosomal RNA (468 nucleotides) under uncultured bacterium. RNAcentral describes it as "partial 16S ribosomal RNA". It matches the Rfam family "Bacterial small subunit ribosomal RNA", at positions 28 to 507 of the family's 1533-position model. The record is from RNAcentral.